This 876-nucleotide long non-coding RNA is filed under the name Chrysemys picta bellii (western painted turtle). Its description in RNAcentral is "lncRNA (ENSCPBG00000009479.1)". The record is from RNAcentral. Lineage: Eukaryota; Metazoa; Chordata; Testudines; Emydidae.
UCCUGCUGGCCCUGGGGGUGGAUUUCGAUAACAUGGAGGGCUGCUGGGACAACGAGCACUUCUUCACCCGCAUCGGCGUCUUCCAGGAGCACCUGCUGAGCAUCCUGGAGCAGCAGAAGUACAGGCAGGAGAUCCGGAUCCUGCUGGGCACCAAGUUCUCAGAUGACUUUAUAAGGAAGAGUUUAGCCUCUGAGUGGCCACAAAUAAUUGUGAUAGCAGAUGGAUCCUGCGGAGAAUCAAGCUCAGUUCUUGGAAUCAGUCCAGAUUACAUUGUGGAAUCCUGUAAUGCUUAUGGAGCAAAUGCAGCUAUUGAGAGGCGUGAUCAGAGACAGGUGCCAACUCCAGAGAUCCGUGCUCACAGUCUAUAUUUUGAUCUCUCUGCUUAUGGAAUGGAUAUAUCUUCCACGGGUAAGGAAUCUCUGAAGCCAGGAUUUCAUCUGAAAAUCUAUGGGACAUUCCGUAAUCGAUACAUGGCUUUGGCAUGUCCAGCUUCUGAUUCCAAAGUUGUUAGAUUUCUACGGCAUACUCUCAAUUCCUCAAUAAUGAAGAACAUAUUCCACCAAUCUUUCAAUGCCUACAAGAUGGAUAUUGAACCCAGGGUGAAUGAAUUGACUCUCCAUCAUGUCCAGUGUAGUAGAAGACUCUUUGAGAUCAUGCUUUCUCAUAGGAGGGUAACAGCAGCCUUCAUUGAGGGGGACAAUGUAGUGGUCACUGUGGAAGGAGAAGCAGCCAGAGUGCUGAAUUUCGACACUGGCUGUGGAGUUAAUCUUGGAUUGAGAGGCUUGGAAUCCUUGGAAGAAUUAAUUUACAGGGUUGCUACAGCAGUGGAUCAGAAUGAUAUCUUUGAAGCACUGUCUGCCAAGAUACGACACUCCA